CCUACGGGCGGCUGCAGUGGGGAAUAUUGGACAAUGGGCGAAAGCCUGAUCCAGCCAUGCCGCGUGUGUGAAGAAGGCCUUCGGGUUGUAAAGCACUUUCAGUGGGGAAGAAAGCCUUGGGGCUAAUACCCUCGAGGAAGGACAUCACCCACAGAAGAAGCACCGGCUAACUCCGUGCCAGCAGCCGCGGUAAUACGGAGGGUGCGAGCGUUAAUCGGAAUUACUGGGCGUAAAGCGCGCGUAGGCGGUCUGAUAAGCCGGUUGUGAAAGCCCCGGGCUCAACCUGGGAACGGCAUCCGGAACUGUCAGGCUAGAGUGCAGGAGAGGAAGGUAGAAUUCCCGGUGUAGCGGUGAAAUGCGUAGAGAUCGGGAGGAAUACCAGUGGCGAAGGCGGCCUUCUGGACUGACACUGACGCUGAGGUGCGAAAGCGUGGGUAGCAAACAGGAUUAGAUACCCCAGUAG
This 463-nucleotide ribosomal RNA is filed under the name Vreelandella stevensii. Its description in RNAcentral is "partial 16S ribosomal RNA". It matches the Rfam family "Bacterial small subunit ribosomal RNA", at positions 338 to 793 of the family's 1533-position model. Lineage: Bacteria; Pseudomonadati; Pseudomonadota; Gammaproteobacteria; Oceanospirillales; Halomonadaceae. The record is from RNAcentral.